UUAGUAAUAUGUGAUUUUUUAUGUUGAUGCAGAUGAGGUUUCGCAGCAUUUUCCUGGGUGGAGCAAUGGUCGGAAACUAGGUCACCGAUGAGGGUUUAUGGGCGAACAUUUUCAUUUUGAUUUCUCAUUCAAAAUCUGAUCGAACAUACCCAACAAUAAGCAAGGCAGAUCCUCAUUCAAAACCAUAUGUUGGCCAAAGCACUUUUUCAGGUUUAGCAGUUUUCAUGGCAUAAGCUUUAACACUUUGAAAUCAGCUCAUGAUCGCAUCGAAGGUACGAUUUCUGAGGAAUACGAAGCUUGGAUCGUGCAAGAUCAAGUUGUCUUCAUCUGGUUACUAUCCAUAAUUUCAGAGUUUGUUCUUCCUUGAGUUCUUGCAUGUAAACACGCCUUUGAAGUUUGGGACAAGAUUCACCAAUUCUUCAAUGCGCAAUUAAAAGCUAGGGCGCGAUAACUUCGGGUAGAACUCAAAUCGACUAAGAAAGGGAACAAGUCGUUCACUGAAUUCGUCCUAAGGAUCAAAGAAAUUGCAAAUUUUCUGCUAGCUGUUGGUGAUUCUAUUACAGAACAAGAUCAGGUUGAUUCGAUUCUUGAAGGUCUACCUAAAGAAUGCAAUCCCUUUGUUAUGCAUAAUUAUGGUUGCACUACUCCUCCCACUCUGUGUGAUGUUGAAGCUCUGCUUUAUGUACAAGAAGCACAAAUAGACAAGUUUCGCCAAGAAAUGGACACUUCAAACGUAGCUGCCAAUGUUGCUCACACAAGCCAAGAAGGGAACAUCUCCAUAGGAGCAUACUCGUUCCAUCGUGGUAGAGGAAGAUUCAUUCGUGGGUGCAGUCGUGGAAGAGAUUGAAACAGAAAUGGAAAUUGACCUACAUGUCAACUGUGUGAAAAGUAUGGGCAUUCAGUCACCACGUGUUGGUAUUGAUUUGAUGAAAACUCCAUGCCUUCAUUCAUAUUUAGUACUUUUGUUAAUCCUGCAAAGACUUAAAAUUCCACUCAAGAAUCUACUCAAGAAACUUCACAUGGCUUUCAAACCAUGGCAAUGAUGGCUACAAUAAGUCGACCUAAUGUAAGAAUACUCCUUGCCUUCAGAAUUGGAGUCUCAAGCUUGGUUUGCGGAUUCAAGUGCUUCCCACCACUUAACUCCUUACGAUUCUCUGUUACAGAAUAAAAGAAAAUAUGUAGGAGCCAACAAGGUUUAUGUAGGAAAUGGCCAAAUUCUUAACAUUCAUUCAGUAGGAUCCACACAGUUUUACUCUAAGAUCAAUCCCACGCAUAAGUUAAUUCUUACCAAUAUCCUACAUAUGCCUUCUAUCACUAGAAACUUGUUAUCUAUUUCAAAAUUCUCUAGUGAUAACAAUGUUGUUUUUGAAUUCCUGCCUGACAAAUGCUAUAUUAAAUCUUAAGCUUCUAAACAAGUCAUUGUUCAAGGAGUCCUAGAUGUUAAUGGCCUUUAUUGCUUUCCUCGGCUAUCUGUGGAGCUCAUAAGCUCUCAUCAUUUGAAUAACAACUUGAGUUACAUAACUGGUAGUCAAAGUUAUGUUGUUUCUCAUUCUAGUUUAGCUUUCUCAAAUAAUUGUAACACUAGUGUUCUUUGGCAUAAUAGGCUAGGCCAUGCCAAGUUUAACUUUGUAUAUACUCAAAUUUUGUAAUAUACAUUCAUCUAAUAAACAUAGUAAUACUUUUUGUA
This is a long non-coding RNA of Lathyrus oleraceus (garden pea), 1687 nucleotides long. RefSeq lists it as uncharacterized. The record is from RefSeq and is a predicted model, not a curated record. The transcript is spliced from 2 exons. NCBI's taxonomy places the organism in Eukaryota, Viridiplantae, Streptophyta, Magnoliopsida, Fabales, Fabaceae.